Molecule: transfer RNA, 97 nt
Filed under: Candidatus Bathyarchaeota archaeon
Lineage: Archaea; Thermoproteati; Candidatus Bathyarchaeota
Also listed under: 1 other name
Description: tRNA-Met
Rfam family: tRNA
About the family: Transfer RNA (tRNA) molecules are approximately 80 nucleotides in length. Their secondary structure includes four short double-helical elements and three loops (D, anti-codon, and T loops).
Source: RNAcentral
GCCGGGGUAGCUCAGCCUUGGCCAGAAAACUUUUUAAGGCUAAAGCGUUGGACUCAUAAUCCAGAGGUCGCGGGUUCAAAUCCCGCCCCCGGCACCA